GCCAGUGUGAUAUAGUGGUUUGAGUGUUGAACUAAGACUCGGGAGACCAGGGUUCAAAUCCUUGCUCAGUCA
This is a non-coding RNA of Phrynosoma platyrhinos (Desert horned lizard), 72 nucleotides long. The record is from the annotation of a GenBank genome assembly. NCBI's taxonomy places the organism in Eukaryota, Metazoa, Chordata, Lepidosauria, Squamata, Phrynosomatidae.